AUGAAAAUACUAACUCUUGCUGACCUAAUUUACUUUAAUAAAAAUGUUGAAAAUACUAACCCUUGCAAAAAUUUAAUAUGCAACAACACUCCCUUCAUAAUCUUUGAGUCACUUGGUUUUACCUUGGAAUAACACCAAAAAGUGGUCAACAGUAAUAUAAGUCUAAAUAGCAUGAAUUUUUACAACAUUUUUUUAAAUAGAGUUUGUGUGUCCAAUAAAUAUAUAGGUAUAAUUUCCCCUGCUUAGGGAUACUUUCCAACACAUGUAACUGGAAAAUUCCAUGGGAUAUCCAUGCUUAAAUGAAAUAAUACCUUGAUCCAAUCAUGAAGUAGAGAAAUAACUCUUGCAUUCUCCUAGUUCAUCCAAAGUUACUAUAGCUCCUGAAAAUCAUUUAAAAUAUAUUUAGAAAGACAAAAAUCAGAAGAACAAAACUAACAUCCAAAACUUAUUUUAAGAGUAGUUAGGAUCUCUUGGUUUUUUUUAUCAGCUAAUUAAAUUAAAGGAUACUUAAGGGGCCCUUUAACAAAAAAAUGCAAAAGCAACAAAGAUGUUCUAAUCAUCUAUGUCUCUAUUACAACCCUACACUAGUGCUUAUAACAGAGAAAUGCGCAGCUAAGAAUCCCUUUAAUGCAUCAUCAGUGCAUAAACAAGACAACACUAUAUUCCACACAUUAUGCAUCACCCUAAAAAUUCAGAAAGCACAACACUUUAAUUACAUAGGACAGAACCAGUGGUGACACUAACAAGUCAGAGGAGCAUUAUCCAAACUUCACAACAUGACCAUGAUUAGGAGGGCCUCUGGAAAACUCCCACUAGAGAAUGAUGUGAUUGGAGGAUAUGUAACUAUAAUACCAUAAAGCAUGCCACCUUCCAUCAGAAUUCCACCGCAAUACGAAAUGACUUAGCCAUGAUACUUCCUCGUGCAUAAAGAUAUGUGCCUGUUUUAUGUGUGGUAGGAAUUGAUUUCUAGACAACACCUGCAUCAACUGCAUAGACGAAUACCGCAGAAAAUAUAACAGUUUAAGGCUCCUUAGUGCAAAACGCAGGUAAUAACCAGCCAUCAAAGGAAAGGAUGAGCAAAAAACAUAUUUCAUAUCUAGAUAGAGUGAACAACCGCAUGUCCCAGGGCAUGGUUAAAUAAUGUUGCUACAAAUUCCUCGAGCCUACUCUCAUAUAUCACAAAGUAUAUCAUAAAUGAUUUUGUGGUUUUUUUCAUAAUGUUCAAAAGGGGAUUGUAUGGUAAAACUGAAAUUGUUAUAUGCUAAAGUUUUGGAAUUUGAUUAAUAUUAUUAUUGGGUUGUUAAGAUUUAAUUAGUUAGGAUUUUAUCAUUUAUUUAUUUUAUUAGGAUUUUAUCAUUUAUUUAUUUUAUUAGGAUUUUAUCAUUUAUUUAAUUAGUUAGGAUUUUAUUAGGAUUUUAUUGGGAUUUUAUGAUAUUUAGUACUCUAUAAAUAGAGUAUUGAACUAUUAUUUGAGAUAUGAAUAAUAUAUGCAAUUUGUUUCCUUUUCUCAAUUCUCUAUCAAUUCUCUAUCAUUGUUCUUGUUCUUGGUAUAAUCGGAAACCACCUAAAGGUUCCCUUUGUCCAAAGCCUAAUCGUUCUUCGAAAUCUCUUACGAGAUGACCUAGACGCUUCUACACACGAUCGUUCAUAUCAAUUGGUAUCAGCUAGGACCUUCCAGUACUUUCAAUGGCAGAUUCAACACGCUUCGCUCAAGCUGCUAAGGAGAUGGAAGAUCGAAUCUCCCAAAGGAUGGAUAAUAGGUUUCUGGAACUCGCGAAUACGUUGAAGGAAACCUUGACUCUUUCUAUAAAAGACACCAUGCAGGAAUUACUUACUCAAUCUCAAGGAGAAGGGGCCCAUGGCCUCUCCAAUGACAACAUGGGGUUUGGUGCAAUAUGCGAUGAUCCCAUGGUUGAGUUGUUGCGUUUACGACAAAAGACUUCAGUUGAUGCCUAUCAUGAAGAGUUCAAUUCAAUCAUUACAACAUUGAAGUUAUCUGAUGAUCAUAUUCUAGGGUGCUUCCUUGGUGGAUUAAAGAAAGAAAUCCAGAUGAUGGUAAGAAUGUUCCGACCUCAGUCUCUACAACAUGCGUUUACAUUGGCCAGGACGUAUGAAGGACAUAAUUCAAGCAAUUCGAUGGCCAAAUUCCACAGGGGAGUCUUGGGUCCAGCACCAGUGCCUAUAUCGUCGUCUGCUUCAAUCAAUGUGGCCCCUAAACCCAAACCAACACACCACUUCCCACUUGAGUUCAUAGCAGAACGUAGGGCCAAAGACCUUCUUCACGUCAUGGAGAUGGAGGAAGAUGACUCAUAUGAUAGUCCUCCCAGUUAUGUGACUGAAUUAUUGCAAAGGAAUGAGCCACAAAUCACAGUCAACGCAUUAACCAUAGUGGUUGGGUUCAGAACCAUGAGAAUAGUUGGAUAUCAUAAAAAACGACCUUUACAUAUUCUCAUUGAUAGUGGCAGCACUCAUAAUUUCAAAGAUACCCAAAUGGAUAAAAAAUAUGGGUGCAUAAUUGAUACGAUUGCCCAUUUGAAUGUCAUGGUAAGCUGAGCUCUACCACAAACCUUAAAAAAAUUAAGAAGGUUUUUGGGCUUAGCUGGAUAUUAUAGAAGAUUUGUUCGUGGGUAUGACGUCAUUGCUACACCUGAUAUGCUUAAGAAGGAUAAUUUCAUUUGAAGACGAAGUACCAUUGUUCCAUUCUUGAGGGCAAGAAUGUUGUUGAGGGGAGGGCAUUGUUAUAUGCUAAAGUUUUGGGAUUUGAUUAAUAUUAUUAUUGGGUUGUUAAGAUUUAAUUAGUUAGGAUUUUAUCAUUUAUUUAUUUUAUUAGGAUUUUAUUAGGAUUUUAUCAUUUAUUUAAUUAGUUAGGAUUUUGUUAGGAUUUUAUUAGGAUUUUAUGAUAUUUAGUACUCUAUAAAUAGAGUAUUGAACUAUUAUUUGAGAUAUGAAUAAUAUAUGCAAUUUGUUUCCUUUUCUCAAUUCUCUAUCAAUUCUCUAUCAUUGUUCUUGUUCUUGGUAUAAUCGGAAACCACCUAAAGGUUCCCUUUGUCCAAAGCCUAAUCGUUCUUCGAAAUCUCUUACGAGAUGACCUAGACGCUUCUACACACGAUCGUUCAUAUCAGAAAUCGAGAAAGAAAAACUCAAAAAAAUUUAUUCCAAUCAAAUAAUCUUACCUCUGACGGUAGGGUUUGACUCGCUAAUGGAUGCACUAUUCUUUGCCACUUCACUACUUCGAUUUUUCAAAGUUAGGGUUGAAUACGAAAAUCGUGUGCUCUCAAAUGGGGAAGCUUCACUCUUAGAUUUCGAUUUUGGGUUUCGAUUUGGCAACGAGUUUCAUACAUUGGAUUUGGAAACCAGUAAGCUUUGGGAUUUCGCUUUUGGGAUUUGGCUUUUGGAUCUGGGAACAAAGUUCAGAGCUUUAAUUUGGAAACAUGGUUGAAAGUUUUGAUUUGUGAACGCAAUUUAGAGGUUUGAUCUGGCAACGACGUUCAGAGCUUUGGUUUGGAAACAACCUUCAGAGGUGAGAUUAAGAGGUUCAAAGGUGUUCUCAUUCAGGAUGGGCAUUUGUUUCUGAAACCAAAACAUUUUCAAAAUUUUCCAAACAAAAAAAA
This 3611-nucleotide long non-coding RNA is filed under the name Phaseolus vulgaris (common bean). RNAcentral describes it as "long non-coding RNA (PVUL_LNC002501)". The record is from RNAcentral. Lineage: Eukaryota; Viridiplantae; Streptophyta; Magnoliopsida; Fabales; Fabaceae.